RNAcentral lists this ribosomal RNA (712 nucleotides) under uncultured bacterium. RNAcentral describes it as "bacterial SSU rRNA". It matches the Rfam family "Bacterial small subunit ribosomal RNA", at positions 58 to 754 of the family's 1533-position model. The record is from RNAcentral.
UUGGUCCAAAGUUCGAAGGGGUAUAGGUUUUCGGACCUAGAGACCGGCGCACGGGUCGCUUGUAACGCGUAUGCAAUCUACCUUUUACAGAGGGAUAGCCCAGAGAAAUUUGGAUUAAUACCUCAUAGCAUUAUUGAAUGGCAUCAUUUAAUAAUUAAAGUCACAACGGUAAAAGAUGAGCAUGCGUCCCAUUAGCUAGUUGGUAAGGUAACGGCUUACCAAGGCAACGAUGGGUAGGGGUCCUGAGAGGGAGAUCCCCCACACUGGAACUGAGACACGGUCCAGACACCUACGGGUGGCAGCAGUCGAGAAUUUUUCACAAUGGGCGCAAGCCUGAUGGAGCGACGCCGCGUGGGGGAUGAAUGGCUUCGGCCCGUAAACCCCUGUCAUUUGCGAACAAAUUGGUUCAAUUAACACCUGAACCAUUGAUAGUAGCGAAAGAGGAAGGGACGGCUAACUCUGUGCCAGCAGCCGCGGUAAUACAGAGGUCCCAAGCGUUGUUCGGAUUUACUGGGCGUAAAGGGCGCGUAGGCGGCCACCGCAAGUCAGUUGUGAAAUCUCUGGGCUUAACCCAGAAAGGUCAACUGAUACUGCGGGGCUAGAGUGCAGAAGGGGCAACUGGAAUUCUCGGUGUAGCGGUGAAAUGCGUAGAUAUCGAGAGGAACACCUGCGGCGAAGGCGGGUUGCUGGGCUGACACUGACGCUGAAGCGC